RNAcentral lists this transfer RNA (73 nucleotides) under Trichonephila inaurata madagascariensis. It matches the Rfam family "tRNA". Rfam says of the family: Transfer RNA (tRNA) molecules are approximately 80 nucleotides in length. Their secondary structure includes four short double-helical elements and three loops (D, anti-codon, and T loops). Lineage: Eukaryota; Metazoa; Arthropoda; Arachnida; Araneae; Nephilidae. The record is from Rfam by way of RNAcentral.
GUCCCUGUAGCGCAAUGGAUAGCGCGUUGGACUUCUAAUCCAAAGGUCAUGGGUUUGAAUUCCUCCUGGGAUG